UGGGGAAUAUUGGACAAUGGGCGAAAGCCUGAUCCAGCAAUGCCGCGUGAGUGAUGAAGGCCUUAGGGUUGUAAAGCUCUUUUACCAGGGAUGAUAAUGACAGUACCUGGAGAAUAAGCUCCGGCUAACUCCGUGCCAGCAGCCGCGGUAAUACGGAGGGAGCUAGCGUUGUUCGGAAUUACUGGGCGUAAAGCGCGCGUAGGCGGUUUCUCAAGUCAGAGGUGAAAGCCCGGGGCUCAACCCCGGAACUGCCUUUGAAACUAG
Molecule: ribosomal RNA, 264 nt
Filed under: uncultured Novosphingobium sp.
Lineage: Bacteria; Pseudomonadati; Pseudomonadota; Alphaproteobacteria; Sphingomonadales; Sphingomonadaceae
Description: partial 16S ribosomal RNA
Rfam family: Bacterial small subunit ribosomal RNA
Source: RNAcentral